This is an RNA transcript of Cataglyphis hispanica, 5603 nucleotides long. It is a transcript of the gene named 1-phosphatidylinositol 4,5-bisphosphate phosphodiesterase gamma-1, with no coding region annotated. The transcript is spliced from 19 exons. The record is from RefSeq and is a predicted model, not a curated record. NCBI's taxonomy places the organism in Eukaryota, Metazoa, Arthropoda, Insecta, Hymenoptera, Formicidae.
AGAUCAUAAGACGCGUCGCGAUGGGGGUAAUAAAAAUGAUUAUGCGUUGAAAAAAUUCACGGCACGAUGCUCUUGCGGGAUCGAGUUUUGAAAUUAGCACUUUUGGACGGGCAAAAAAUCUUGAAAUACAUGUUUAUAUACAUAAUCAUUUAUAAUUGUAAUUAUUUUAUGUCCCGAUUACUUUUUUCCACGGAAAAUAAUCUAGAAUUUUCGUGAUAUAGCCUUUACUAGGUUAUGUUUACAUUGCAAAGAUUAGAUAAUACAUAUUUUGCUGAGUAAAAUAUAAAUAUUACAAAAUAUAUAAUAUUACAAAAAUGAAUGGAAUUAUUCCUGAAAUGGAACAAAUUAUUAGUCAACUCGAAAGAGGUACUGUAGUUACUAAGUUUUUUCCGAGAAAACGGGCGGAAAAGAAAACUCUUAUGAUACGAAGAGAAACUAGACAAAUUGUUUGGUCAAGGAGUGCAACAUUUAGACCUUUUGAUGGUUCAGUGGAAAUAAGAGAAGUUAAAGAAGUUAGAAUAGGUAAACAAUCUAAAGACUUUGAAAAAUGGCCUGAAGAUGCUAAGAGAAUUGAGAAUUUAAGGUGCUUUGUUGUGUAUUAUGGCUCAGAAUUCAGACUGAAAACUCUUUCUAUAUCUGCUCUUAGUGAAAAAGAAUGUGAAUUAUGGAUUAAGGGAUUGCGUUACUUGGUACAAGACACUAUAACUGCACCAUAUCCUUUACAAGUUGAAAGAUGGCUUAGAAAAGAGUUUUAUGCAAUGGAAAAUUCCCGUGAAACGAUCACAUUAAAGGACGUGAAAGCAUUUUUGCCUAGAGUUAAUUGCAAAAUUGCGACAAAUAGACUCAGGGAAUUAUUUCAAGAAGUGGACACGAGAAAUCGUAACGAACUUGGAUUUGAUGAUUUUAUUAUUUUAUAUCAUAAAUUAAUGUUUGAUCAGAAUAAUCUUGCAGAUUGGAACAAACUGUUGAAUUAUUCUCAAAUUGAACCAACUGUCACACUUCAAGAAUUUCAGAACUUUUUAAUAACCGAGCAGCAAGAUAGUUUGGGGAAUAAUGAAUUAGAGAUAUCUCGUUUUAUUAGAGAAUAUUUACAAGAUCCUCAAAGAGACAUACAAGAACCAUAUUUUACUUUCUCAGAAUUUGUAGAUUUUUUAUUUUCUAAGCAAAAUGAUAUCUGGAAUCAAAAGUUUAAUCAAGUGUCUCAAGAUAUGACUCGACCUCUUGCACAUUAUUGGAUUGCAUCAUCACAUAACACUUACUUGAUGGGAGAUCAGAUUAGCAGUGAAAGCAGUUGUCAGGCCUAUGUACGUGCACUAAGAGCAGGAUGCAGAUGUAUAGAGCUUGAUUGUUGGGAUGGUCCAGAUGGAAUGCCAUUUAUAUUCCAUGGACAUACACUCACUACCAAAAUUAAAUUUUUGGACGUUAUUAAAACUAUUAAGGAGCACGCUUUUGUUACAUCUGAGUAUCCUGUUAUUUUAUCUAUCGAGGAUAAUUGUACUUUACCGCAGCAACGUAAAAUGGCAAUGACUAUGCAAGAAGUCUUUGGUGAUAUGCUGUUGGUUCAACCUGUUGACAAAAAUGAGACUUGUUUACCUUCCCCAUACGCAUUGCGCAGAAAAAUUUUAUUAAAACACAAAAAGCUUCCUGAUGGUGUCGACGAAUCUUCGUUUCUUGUUCGAAAUGAUGAAAGCAGACAGGAGAUGGAUCUUAGAAAUACUGUAAAAAAUGGAAUUCUUUAUUUGGAAGAUCCUAUUGAUAGAGAAUGGAAUCCUCAUUUUUUUGUACUGACACAACAGAAACUAUUUUAUACAGACACAUUUUCAAGAGUACAAGAAACGGAACACGAUGACGAUGAAGAAAGCAGUAUUCGGAGGACAUCAGAUGGUGCGCCUAAUGACGAAUUACACUUUGGCGAGAAAUGGUUUCAUGGAAAAUUAGCAAGAGGAAGAGAGGAAGCUGAAGAAUUAUUACGGCACUAUUCCUACCUUGGUGAUGGUACUUUUCUCGUGCGACAAUGUGUUACAUUUGUAGGUGAUUAUUGUUUAUCGUUUUGGCGUAAAGGAAAAGUAAACCAUUGUCGCAUCAAGCUGAAACAAGAAAUGGGUCAAACACAAUAUUAUCUUAUCGAUACCAAUUGUUUUGAUAGCUUAUACAGUUUAAUCACCCAUUAUCGUAAUCAUCCACUUAGAAGCCAAGAAUUUUUAAUUACGCUGCAAGAACCAGUGCCUCAACCAAAUAAACAUGAGGAGAAAGAAUGGUGGCAUCCUGAAUGUACUCGAAUUGCAGCAGAAGAGAUGUUAAAGCGUAUACCUACAGAUGGCGCAUUCUUAGUGAGACCUAGUGAAAGAGAAAGUAAUUGCUACGCAAUUUCAUUUAGAGCGGAAAAGAAAAUAAAACAUUGUAAAAUAAAACUUGAAGGCAGACUCUAUACCACUGGAACUGUACAGUUUGAAAGCUUAGUUGAAUUAAUUAGUUAUUAUGAACGACAUCCGUUGUAUAAAAAAAUUAAAUUGAGUCAUCCUGUUAAUCAAGAUAUUAUUAGAAGAAUGGGAUUGGAUAAUGACGAUGGGUCAGUUUAUGGCAUCCCAGGUUAUAUGGAUCCUACAAGCUUUACAUCAAAAGUAACAGUUAAAGCUAUUUAUGAUUAUAAAGCUAAAAGAGAGGAUGAAUUGACAUUGGUAAAACAUGCUAUAAUUACUAAUGUUAAUGUGCAACGUGGAGGAUGGUGGAGGGGUGAUUAUGGUGGUAAAAAACAACACUGGUUUCCUGCUAAUUAUGUAGAAGAAAUCGAUGAACAAGAAAAUCAGGGAGAUUCAGCAGAUUCUAUGAUGCUUGGUAGCUUGCAGAAAGGUUCAUUAGAUAUCAUGGGUGCUGUAGUAGAACUAACAGUAGGAGAAAGACUAGGUUUGGAAUGGAUUUUAAGGAUACAAAACCCUAGUAUGUGUUCAGUAUUUGAAGUUGCCACACCAUCAAAAGAUACCGCAUUAGAAUGGAUGUCAAGUAUUAAAGAGACUGCACAAAAUGCAAGUGUUAGGGAAAGUCAACACAAGGAAAUGGAGAGAGCAUGGAGAAUAGCCAAGGAAAUGUCUAAUCUUAUAGUAUAUUGUAGAUCUGUUGCAUUUAACAUAGAACGAAUAAGAACUAAAGGAUUUACAUUCAAUGAAAUGAGUAGCUUCCCAGAAACAAAGGCUGAAAAAUUAAUGUGUCAACAAGAGAAUAAAUUUUUUAUAAAGUAUCAUCAGAUUCAAUUUAGCAGGGUUUAUCCUAAAGGUCAACGUAUUGAUUCAUCUAAUUAUAAUCCUGUACCAAUGUGGAAUGCUGGUUGUCAGAUGGUAGCUUUGAAUUAUCAGACUGGAGACAAAUCAAUGCAAUUAAAUCAGGCUAAAUUUAAAGAAAAUGGCAAUUGUGGUUAUUUAUUGAAACCGGAAUUCAUGUUUAAACAAGACUUUAAUCCAUAUGAUAAAAAUACGUUAUAUGGAGUCGAAUCGCUUAAAAUUUGCUUGAAAAUUAUUGGAGCUAGACAUUUAAUGAAAUCAGGAAGAAGCACUGCCAGUCCAUCUGUCGAAGUUGAAAUUAUUGGUGCGGAUUUUGAUUCUGGAACGAAAUUAACAACAAAGACAAUAUCGGAUAAUGGAUUUAACCCAAUGUGGAAUGAAAUAUGUGAAUUCGAAAUAUUUAAUCCAUAUUUUGCUCUUAUACGAUUUUUAGUGCAAGACGAAGAUAUGUUUGGUGAUAGUAAUUUCAUAGGACAAGCUACUUAUCCAGUGCGUUGUUUAAGAACAGGAUAUAGAAGUGUUCCAUUAAAAAACAUAUAUAGCGAAGAUCUUGAGCUUGCUUCCUUAUUAGUACAUAUUAAAAUUAUAAUAUCAUCGAUAAGAAAUUCCAUCUAAAGAGUUAUAUUUGCUAUAUCGAUAACAAUCUAUAUAUAUUUAAAUUAAAAUUUUAUCUCUUAUUGAGUUUUUUUGUUCAAUAUAAGUGUACGUAAUGCAUAAAACAGAUCGGUGAAAAGUCAAAUCUGCAUUAUAAAACACAGUGUACAGAUUGAUGAAGAUACCAAGUUAGCAUAUCUGUAACACAAAAAACUAUCAUGAUAUAUAUGUCACAAUAUAAUAUACAAUGGCAUAAAGGUAAUAUAUGUUAGAAGCAUAUCAUUAGAAGACUGUAUAUAAUUAUAUAUUGAAUUUUGACAAGUUAGGUAUAUAGAUUAUUAUAAAAAUUUAUUAGAAAUAUUUCUAUAAUUGGGUGAAAUGAAGCAUGAAAUGAAGCAAAGAAGUGAAUAUUCUAAUGCAUUCUCUCAUAAAAAGAGAGAGAAAGACAAAAUAAAUGAUAAAAUGAAUUAAAAAAUUGAUUAACUAAAAAAAAAUGGCUCUAAUAAAAAGUAGGGAGACAAUAUAUGCAAACGUGAUCUAGAAUAGAUAGGUUUUAUUGCUAUGAUACAUAUAGAUAUUACUCUAAUUGAACCUAUAAUGUAUUUAAUUUUUUUCUAUACAUGGAGAGGUUUUUAAUAAUACAUGCAUACAUAAAUACAUAUACACACACAAUUGAAAACAUGGAUUUAUUAUAUAUGUAUUUGAGAGAAAUAAUUUUUAUGACAUAUCAUGUAUAAUGACUGAACAAUUUUUCUUCAUAAUAAUUAAUUUAUCAAAUUACCAUAUUUUAUAUUAAUAAUAUUAAUAUAAUUUAAUUGAAAGGAAUAGUUAUGUGUGAUGAAAAGAAUGUUUAAUUAAAACAAAGGAAAUGUAAUAAUACACCAUGAACACAAUUUUGAUAGUAUCAUAUUAUAGAUGUGCAAUGUGAUUGCAUUUAAUGGGAAAUGAAGUAUUACAUACUAUAUUUAUUCGGUUCUCUAUAGAUUCUGAUAUUGUAGUGUGCAAUAGUAGCAAAGAAUCACACAUAUCACAUAUGCUUGUCUAUCUAUGGCUAUCAGUAAAAUUAUAGUAUAAAUUUACUCUGAUGCGAAAUAAAUGGAUAUUAACAAGAAGCCUGGUGAAAUUUACCUUUAAUACUAAUGGAUAUUAUAUUUUACAUGUCCGAAUAUGCUAGGUAGAAAUGUACAAAACUUUUUAAAUUAAAAUGCAUAGACAUUGAUGACAAAAAAGUAAUAUAAUACAUUCAAGGUGAUAUAAUUUACUUUUUUUACAGCUGAUAAAUAAUGCUCAAUUAAUUCAACUGUCAAUCUUUUUCAAUUAUGUGUGAUAAGUGGAUAUUUUUAAUAUCAUUCUGUCAUGAGCGUCUUUGGCAGAAAACGUCUUCCUUAAUAAUUGUACACAUAUGUGUAAAAUACGUAUAUAUAUUACAUAUAUAUAUUAUCAUUUAUAUUUACAUCGAUGUCUACCUGGUAAAGCCGACUGUAGCAUGCUAAAGGCGCCAAUGUUGCAAUUUUGUUACAUAUUUCGAAAUUAUAUUGCAUAUGUUAUAUUAUCACAUUUUAAUCAUUGAAUAUAUUUCAAGUACAUAUAGUAUUUGUACAAUGAAUUUGAACAAUGUAUGCGUUCAAUGUGCCUGUACUUUAUACUAUAAGCGAUAUGAUCAGACAUAUCUUUUGAAAACAAAUGCAUAAGAAAUUCUAUAUAAUAAAUUUUGUUUUGUUAUAAAUGCGAUUA